GGUAGAGAUUCUUCGGAAUCUUGAGAGCGGCGUACGGGUGCGGAACACGUGUGCAACCUACCUUUAUCAGGGGGAUAGCCUUUCGAAAGGAAGAUUAAUACCCCAUAAUAUAUUGACUGGCAUCAGUUGGUAUUGAAAACUCCGGUGGAUAGAGAUGGGCACGCGCAAGAUUAGAUAGUUGGUAGGGUAACGGCCUACCAAGUCAGUGAUCUUUAGGGGGCCUGAGAGGGUGAUCCCCCACACUGGUACUGAGACACGGACCAGACUCCUACGGGAGGCAGCAGUGAGGAAUAUUGGACAAUGGGUGAAAGCCUGAUCCAGCCAUCCCGCGUGAAGGACGACGGUUCUAUGGAUUGUAAACUUCUUUUAUAUAGGGAUAAACCUUUCUACGUGUAGAAAGCUGAAGGUACUAUAUGAAUAAGCACCGGCUAACUCCGUGCCAGCAGCCGCGGUAAUACGGAGGGUGCAAGCGUUAUCCGGAUUUAUUGGGUUUAAAGGGUCCGUAGGCGGAUCUGUAAGUCAGUGGUGAAAUCUCAUAGCUUAACUAUGAAACUGCCAUUGAUACUGCAGGUCUUGAGUAAAGUAGAAGUGGCUGGAAUAAGUAGUGUAGCGGUGAAAUGCAUAGAUAUUACUUAGAACACCAAUUGCGAAGGCAGGUCACUAUGUUUUAACUGACGCUGAUGG
RNAcentral lists this ribosomal RNA (684 nucleotides) under Chryseobacterium sp. S7.05.SL.DC.W.Fin.D. Its description in RNAcentral is "bacterial SSU rRNA". It matches the Rfam family "Bacterial small subunit ribosomal RNA", at positions 68 to 752 of the family's 1533-position model. Lineage: Bacteria; Pseudomonadati; Bacteroidota; Flavobacteriia; Flavobacteriales; Weeksellaceae. The record is from RNAcentral.